CAGCAGCCGCGGGAAUACGUAGGGUGCGAGCGUUAAUCGGAAUUACUGGGCGUAAAGCGUGCGCAGGCGGUUGUGUAAGACUGGUGUGAAAUCCCCGGGCUUAACCUGGGAACUGCGCUUGUGACUGCACAGCUAGAGUAUGGCAGAGGGGGGUGGAAUUCCACGUGUAGCAGUGAAAUGCGUAGAGAUGUGGAGGAACACCGAUGGCGAAGGCAGCCCCCUGGGCCAAUACUGACGCUCAUGUACGAAAGCGUGGGGAGCAAACAGGAUUAGAUACCCCUGUAGUCCCUGUCUCUUAUAC
Molecule: ribosomal RNA, 301 nt
Filed under: uncultured bacterium
Lineage: Bacteria
Description: partial 16S ribosomal RNA
Rfam family: Bacterial small subunit ribosomal RNA
Source: RNAcentral